Macaca mulatta (Rhesus monkey) is the source of this 787-nucleotide long non-coding RNA. NCBI's taxonomy places the organism in Eukaryota, Metazoa, Chordata, Mammalia, Primates, Cercopithecidae. The record is from Ensembl.
CUCCCUGCCUGUCUUCUAAGGAUAGCUUUAGGCAAAGUAUUUAAUUCCUCACUAAGUACCUCUACUUAAUAGUGGUGAAUUAAUUACUUCAUAUUUAAAUAACUAGUGAUUAUUAAUAGCUGCAAUGAGUAAUUAUAGCGAUUAACCCAUCCUAGCCUCAGGCUGGCUUCUCAGAAUCAGUUCCCUCUCCCAAAUUGCCAGAAGCACCAUUCUUGAGGAGUGGUCUCCUAAGCCUUACACUGCAGUGGGGCCAAGAGGCAACUCAGUGACUCACCUACAUUUUCACUUCUGGCUCAUCCACGCAUGCAAAGGCAAGAAGCCAGAAAGACUUGGUUAUUUAAACUAUCUCCUGUCUAUAGCCCAAAGUGCUCAAUAAAACCAAAUUAAUAAUUUUUUUUUUUUUUUUUUUUCUGUAGACAGGGGCUCCUGGAAUGGACACAUGGAGAAAAGAAGGCAAAAGGCUACAGAAAGGGAUUUGGUCUCUGAGAAAAUUCCCCUCUCUGGAUUCCCAGGCCUUCUCUAAUGGAAGCAUUUGGAGUCUGAGUUCUUAUGACUCCUGCCCCGAGGAUAAACUUUCCCACUGAAGCACGUCCUAGUACUGCCGACCUAUCUGAGGAAAAGCCCCAGAUCCUUCUGGCCUCCACCCAGCAAUCCUUCCCUAGAGAAGCCAGGAUUCAGUGGAAAUUCAGCAACGGUGAGCACUUGACUGAUUCCCCUAGGGAUAUGGCGCAUUAGUCACCCCAUAAACAUUUAAUUUUAUUUAGCCAUAUUUUAUAAGCUGGCACAU